UUUGAAGUAAGAGACUUGAAAUUUAAAAUGUAUGCCUUAUAGAUGAUGAGAAGGUGUCCAAAUAACAUAUCUUUAGAAAUCAACUCCCUUUUGGGGUUAAAACAGGGGAUGGUAGGUUUACUCACUCAUCACGAAAUCUCGGGAACUAUAACACUUACAAACUUGGAAUUUGGCAGGUAGGCUUCUUAUAAGGCGUAGACAUUCGCUAAGAACGGGUUUUACAAAACUCGACCCCUAAGAGGGUAAAACGGGGUUUGGAAGUUUGUAUGAAAGUCCUAUGUUUUUGAAGUAAGAGACUUGAAAUUUAAAAUGUAUGCUCUAUAGAUGGUGAGAAGGUGUUCAAAUAAUGUAUCCUUAGAAAUCAACUCCC
Molecule: unclassified non-coding RNA, 370 nt
Filed under: Melitaea cinxia (Glanville fritillary)
Lineage: Eukaryota; Metazoa; Arthropoda; Insecta; Lepidoptera; Nymphalidae
Description: misc RNA ENSMCXG00005019262.1
Source: RNAcentral